RNAcentral lists this ribosomal RNA (202 nucleotides) under uncultured bacterium. Its description in RNAcentral is "partial 16S ribosomal RNA". It matches the Rfam family "Bacterial small subunit ribosomal RNA", at positions 328 to 538 of the family's 1533-position model. The record is from RNAcentral.
ACGCUCGACACCUACGGGAGGCUGCAGUGGGGGAUAUUGCACAAUGGGGGAAACCCUGAUGCAGCAACGCCGCGUGAAGGAAGAAGGUCUUCGGAUUGUAAACUUCUGUCCUCAGGGAAGAUAAUGACGGUACCUGAGGAGGAAGCUCCGGCUAACUACGUGCCAGCAGCCGACGGUAAUCUGAGGCGGGCUGGACGAAGGC